This 253-nucleotide ribosomal RNA is filed under the name uncultured bacterium. RNAcentral describes it as "partial 16S ribosomal RNA". It matches the Rfam family "Bacterial small subunit ribosomal RNA", at positions 524 to 776 of the family's 1533-position model. The record is from RNAcentral.
UACAGAGGGUGCAAGCGUUAAUCGGAAUUACUGGGCGUAAAGGGCACGUAGGCGGUUGCAUAAGUGAUGUGUGAAAUAUCCGGGCUUAACCUGGAGAGGUCAUGUCAAACUGUGCGACUAGAGUAUAGGAGAGGGGAGUGGAAUUUCCAGAGUAGCGGUGAAAUGCGUAGAUACUGGAAGGAACACCAGAGGCGAAGGCGGCUCCCUGGCCUAAUACUGACGCUGAGGUGCGAAAGCGUGGGUAGCGAACAGG